RNAcentral lists this transfer RNA (77 nucleotides) under Leptospirillum sp. LA. RNAcentral describes it as "transfer RNA-Ile". It matches the Rfam family "tRNA". Rfam says of the family: Transfer RNA (tRNA) molecules are approximately 80 nucleotides in length. Their secondary structure includes four short double-helical elements and three loops (D, anti-codon, and T loops). The record is from RNAcentral. Lineage: Bacteria; Pseudomonadati; Nitrospirota; Nitrospiria; Nitrospirales; Nitrospiraceae.
UGGGCCUGUAGCUCAGAUGGUGAGAGCGCACGCCUGAUAAGCGUGAGGUCGAUAGUUCGAAUCUAUCCAGGCCCACC